GACGAACGCUGGCGGCGUGCCUAAUACAUGCAAGUAGAACGCUGAAGAGAGGAGCUUGCUCUUCUUGGAUGAGUUGCGAACGGGUGAGUAACGCGUAGGUAACCUGCCUUGUAGCGGGGGAUAACUAUUGGAAACGAUAGCUAAUACCGCAUAACAAUGGAUGACACAUGUCAUUUAUUUGAAAGGGGCAAUUGCUCCACUACAAGAUGGACCUGCGUUGUAUUAGCUAGUAGGUGAGGUAAUGGCUCACCUAGGCGACGAUACAUAGCCGACCUGAGAGGGUGAUCGGCCACACUGGGACUGAGACACGGCCCAGACUCCUACGGGAGGCAGCAGUAGGGAAUCUUCGGCAAUGGGGACAACCCUGACCGAGCAACGCCGCGUGAGUGAAGAAGGUUUUCGGAUCGUAAAGCUCUGCUGUAAGUCAAGAACGGGUGUGAGAGUGGAAAGUUCACACUGUGACGGUAGCUUACCAGAAAGGGACGGCUAACUACGUG
Molecule: ribosomal RNA, 497 nt
Filed under: uncultured bacterium
Lineage: Bacteria
Description: partial 16S ribosomal RNA
Rfam family: Bacterial small subunit ribosomal RNA
Source: RNAcentral